CAAGACGUAGCUAUAAGACGAAAGCGUUCAGCUUACACCUGAAAGAUAUCCAUAACCUAUCGGAUCGUCUUGA
This 73-nucleotide transfer RNA is filed under the name Ardeola bacchus (Chinese pond heron). Its description in RNAcentral is "tRNA-Val". The record is from RNAcentral. Lineage: Eukaryota; Metazoa; Chordata; Aves; Pelecaniformes; Ardeidae.